RNAcentral lists this unclassified non-coding RNA (424 nucleotides) under uncultured fungus. RNAcentral's name for it is "partial contains 5.8S ribosomal RNA, internal transcribed spacer 2, and large subunit ribosomal RNA". Lineage: Eukaryota; Fungi. The record is from RNAcentral.
AACGCAUAUUGCGCUCCUCGGCAUUCCGAGGAGCAUGCCUGUUUGAUGCGCGCAUGAAAUCAACUUGUGUUAGGGCGUGUUUUUUUAUCAUUCGCGCUUUUCCGCACUGUUGCUUUUGAGCUUUCUCACACCUGUGAGUAGUUCCAAGAUCGUGUCAUCACAGAAUUUGAGGGGUAGCAGCGCCUUUGGAGACGGUUCAUUUGACUUGGUCAGCCGACGCCGAUUGCAUUUCAACCCACCCAAGUGAUAAUAUUGAGUUCGAUUUCGAACGCUCUUUGUCGCGCGGAUGGACGCAUUCGAACGCCGUGGGACUUUGAGUCUGAAACGUUCGCCUCAGGUUCGCAACGCAUCCCAGUGAAUCCAAUCUUUUGUUGGAUUCGUCAAAAUCUGCAUCAAAUCAGGUAGGGUUACCCGCUGAACUUAA